CCUACGGGGGGCAGCAGUGGGGAAUAUUGGACAAUGGGGGGAACCCUGAUCCAGCCAUGCCGCGUGUGUGAAGAAGGCCCUCGGGUUGUAAAGCACUUUCAGUGAGGAAGAACGCCUGGUGGUUAAUACCCAUCAGGAAAGACAUCACUCACAGAAGAAGCACCGGCUAACUCCGUGCCAGCAGCCGCGGUAAUACGGAGGGUGCGAGCGUUAAUCGGAAUUACUGGGCGUAAAGCGCGCGUAGGUGGCUUGAUAAGCCGGUUGUGAAAGCCCCGGGCUCAACCUGGGAACGGCAUCCGGAACUGUCAAGCUAGAGUGCAGGAGAGGAAGGUAGAAUUCCCGGUGUAGCGGUGAAAUGCGUAGAGAUCGGGAGGAAUACCAGUGGCGAAGGCGGCCUUCUGGGCUGACACUGACACUGAGGUGCGAAAGCGUGGGUAGCAAACAGGAUUAGAUACCCGUGUAGUC
RNAcentral lists this ribosomal RNA (465 nucleotides) under Vreelandella stevensii. Its description in RNAcentral is "partial 16S ribosomal RNA". It matches the Rfam family "Bacterial small subunit ribosomal RNA", at positions 338 to 795 of the family's 1533-position model. The record is from RNAcentral. Lineage: Bacteria; Pseudomonadati; Pseudomonadota; Gammaproteobacteria; Oceanospirillales; Halomonadaceae.